RNAcentral lists this long non-coding RNA (848 nucleotides) under Trifolium pratense (red clover). RNAcentral's name for it is "long non-coding RNA (TPRA_LNC000570)". The record is from RNAcentral. Lineage: Eukaryota; Viridiplantae; Streptophyta; Magnoliopsida; Fabales; Fabaceae.
AACAAUAAAUGUCAUGAUUUGGGGAGCUUUACGAAAUAAAAAUCAAACUUUUGAUAUUUUCUUAUUUUACUUUUUACGGGAGACUAUUUGUAUUCUCUUUCUUACCUUUUUUUUUUAUUUUUUACCUUUUUAAGAUAAAAAACUAGAGAAUAAAAAUAAAAAUUAAAAACACAAAUCGGCAUAGUAUGAAAUCCUAAAAAAAAAAUAUCCUCCAAAAAAAACAUCACUGCAUCCUUUCAAAUUUUUUUAAAAAUAAAUAUGGAAGAAAAUAACACGUACUAUACAUAUUAAAGUGGCUGUUUUACGGUCCCUACUUCGAAUCUAGGUUUUGCCAAAAUCGCCCAUUUUCUUCUCUUUUUUUCCCGGUAUUUUAAAGUGGCUGAUUCUUGUCAUCAUCUUCAACCUUUAGCCGGGUCACUUCAACCCAGUUUCAGACACGAAAUACCAACGCGAAAUCCGAUAAUUUCCCGACAGUUUCAAGUCGAUUUAAACUAAAAAAUAACAAUUAAUUAUCCAUAAACAUCACAAAAACCAUUUACAAUACAUUUUUAUUUUAGUAUUGAUUCAAAUAGUCUAAAACAAAAGACCUAAAAUUAAAAUUCUCAACAUGUUUGGAUGAGUUUGUGUCAAAUAUGUGUGUGUUUAUUUAUUUAAAUAAUGAAAGAAAUCAAAAGGGAUGUAGAACCUUCAACUCCAUUGCAAAAUUCAUAUGAAAAUAACAAUGGUAAAAUUUGAAAACUGUCAAUUGAAAAAAAAUAAUAAAAAAAUGAAGGGGUGAAGGGGAAAUCAUAAAAAUCUGAAUGUUCAAAAAAAGAAAAACGGAGAAGAAGAUUAUGGGUUUUAGAUCU